GGGGUUGUGGCUCAGUGAUAGAGCACUUGCCUAGCACGUGUGAGGCACUGGGUUCAAAUCUCAGCACCA
Molecule: transfer RNA, 69 nt
Filed under: Ictidomys tridecemlineatus (thirteen-lined ground squirrel)
Lineage: Eukaryota; Metazoa; Chordata; Mammalia; Rodentia; Sciuridae
Description: Spermophilus tridecemlineatus (thirteen-lined ground squirrel) tRNA
Rfam family: tRNA
About the family: Transfer RNA (tRNA) molecules are approximately 80 nucleotides in length.
Source: Rfam by way of RNAcentral